ACGACAUUCAAGAACGUACCGAUGUGUUCCGCUUGUAUCGAGAAAGGAAGUGUCCGAUGACUCGUUGGCUCAUCCCGUAAACUCGAUUUAUCGUGCUUGUCCGCGGUAUUCGUCGUUUCGACCCUCGGCCAUGAAUAUUUAUCACGUUUCGGAAACAAUUUGCCGAUUCUUUUCUCCCAAGUCGCUGUGCCGCGUCGCGUUGCACUGCGCAUGCGUCGCGCAGGCGCGCGGGCAUCGGUGCGCGCGCACCUCACUUUAGCGCCAUUUUUCACGCGCGCGGUCUGCGUAACAAUAAAUUUCGACACGCGUUUAUCUCGCCGGGGAGUUAAUUUACUCAUUAACUUUGUUUCGCGUUUGUCUCGCCGUGGAAGGAACGAGAAACAUUAGCGCGAACUAGCUGCUUAACGUCCGGAAUCGUUCGCCGUGAAAUACGAAGCACGAUACGAAGUGGCGCGGCUCUGCACUGGAAAGUCUAUACAAAUGGCGUGUUGGGGGAAAGGGGGGGCUAUUGACGCAGUUCACUGCGUGAGAAAGUGAACAUCGAUGGAGGUCGUGUUUUUUGUGGAAUGGAGCAUCUAAAUGGUAGUGAUGAGAGGUUAGGAAAAAAGGAAGCUGCGGCACGUUUGCAGCUGGAAUUCCCUAGGCUACAAUCGAACGGAAAAGAAGAACAGAUUAGAGGUGCGUCGAGGUGCUUCAACCAUUGGAUCGGCAACUCCAGUGG
Long non-coding RNA from Frieseomelitta varia, 721 nucleotides. RefSeq lists it as uncharacterized. NCBI's taxonomy places the organism in Eukaryota, Metazoa, Arthropoda, Insecta, Hymenoptera, Apidae. The transcript has 3 exons. The record is from RefSeq and is a predicted model, not a curated record.